UCUCCCUUCUUCCUGGGCCCCACCCUGGACCUCGAGCACAGAAAGGAGAAAGGGCGGAAGGGUCCUCAAGCCGGAGAGCAGAGCCUUUCCUAUCUCAGGGAGCCCCGGCCGUGGGGGCAAGGGCAAACUUUGAACUGAGUGAGAAUAAAGCUUUAAAAAGAAAUCAUUGGACCAGGAGGAGUCAAAUCCAGACCUGAUGGAGUGGGAAGCUGUGAGUGACUCAGAUUUGACGAUGGUGUGGCCUCUUGACCAGCUCUGAAUGGUGUAACUCUGGAAAGUGAUACUGAAUGCCUAAAUUUUCCCUCGGCUCUGGCCUUCUCUGCUGCCUCAGGAGAGAGAAUCAGCUCAGAGUCCAGUCGUGUCUGAACAGACUCCAGCGUCUUCCAGGAGUGAGCAACGUUUGACAAAUGCUAACACUCAGGGGAAUGUUCCAGAGUCAUUUGCUUUGAGAAGUAUGUAUCAUCUACUGUUCUUGACAUGAAUUCAGUCUACUCAUUUUCUACACGUACAAGCACGUACCCUGCUUUCCUGGGUACAGGAGGACAGUAAGCCAUAAAAUGAAAGGGCUUUACCAUGAAAAUCAGCACAAACUCAUUUGCUUAUUUGGCAAACAUGCUUUCAUUCUCCACGGCCAUGAGAGGUAAGAGGCUGUUUUCAUGUUAAUGAACUUCUCUGUUCUGUCCUCUGUUGUAAUGCAUAGCUCCUGUGAGACAAAGCAAUGAGUGGUCCAAUGAAGUUGUGGGUGUCAGAAGAUUAUGUCAAUCAAGUAACAAAUGCACGAUGCUGAUUAAGCAAGUAUCUCCCCAUCUUAGUAUCCAAAUAUUCAAAAUUUUGUAAAAAGCAUGCUGGGAAACAACAAACUGCUAACAUACAGUCUUUCUGAAUUUUCACUGUUCUGAGCAAUGAGAAAAGGCUUGGUGAACACUUUCAUUCACCUGUGUCUCUGCUGAACAUUUCAAAGACGAGGUGGUUAAAAUCCAUAUUUAGGGGCCAGCCUGGUGGAAUAGCAGUUAAGUUCACGUUUCCACCUGGGGGGCCCAGGGUGUGUGUGUUCAGGUCCGGGGCACAGACUACACACCACUCAUCAAGACAUGCUGUGGCAGGGUCCCACAUACAAAAUAGGGGAAGAUGGGCACAGAUGUCAGCUCAGGGUCAAUCUUCCUCAACCCCCUCCCCAAAAGAAUCCAGAUUUAAAUCCAAAAUAUUA
Molecule: long non-coding RNA, 1207 nt
Organism: Equus caballus (horse)
Lineage: Eukaryota; Metazoa; Chordata; Mammalia; Perissodactyla; Equidae
Source: RefSeq, a predicted model, not a curated record